CCUACGGGUGGCAGCAGUGGGGAAUAUUGCACAAUGGGGGAAACCCUGAUGCAGCAACGCCGCGUGAGUGAAGAAGUAUUUCGGUAUGUAAAGCUCUAUCAGCAGGGAAGAAGAUGACGGUACCUGAUUAAGAAGCCCCGGCUAACUACGUGCCAGCAGCCGCGGUAAUACGUAGGGGGCAAGCGUUAUCCGGAUUUACUGGGUGUAAAGGGAGCGCAGACGGCAGUGCAAGUCUGGAGUGAAAGGCCGGGGCCCAACCCCGGAACUGCUCUGGAAACUGUGCGGCUAGAGUACUGGGGGGGCAGGCGGAAUGCCUAGUGUAGCGGUGAAAUGCGUAGAUAUAAGGAAGAACACCAGUGGCGAAGGCGGAUGACGGGACGGCAACUGACGGUGAGGCGCGAAAGCGUGGGGAGCAAACAGGAUUAGAUACCCGAGUAGUC
RNAcentral lists this ribosomal RNA (440 nucleotides) under uncultured bacterium. RNAcentral's name for it is "partial 16S ribosomal RNA". It matches the Rfam family "Bacterial small subunit ribosomal RNA", at positions 338 to 795 of the family's 1533-position model. The record is from RNAcentral.